This 513-nucleotide ribosomal RNA is filed under the name uncultured Exiguobacterium sp. Its description in RNAcentral is "bacterial SSU rRNA". It matches the Rfam family "Bacterial small subunit ribosomal RNA", at positions 960 to 1471 of the family's 1533-position model. The record is from RNAcentral. Lineage: Bacteria; Bacillati; Bacillota; Bacilli; Caryophanales.
CGCGAAGAACCUUACCAACUCUUGACAUCCCAUUGACCGCUUGAGAGAUCAAGUUUUCCCUUCGGGGACAAUGGUGACAGGUGGUGCAUGGUUGUCGUCAGCUCGUGUCGUGAGAUGUUGGGUUAAGUCCCGCAACGAGCGCAACCCCUAUCCUUAGUUGCCAGCAUUCAGUUGGGCACUCUAGGGAGACUGCCGGUGACAAACCGGAGGAAGGUGGGGAUGACGUCAAAUCAUCAUGCCCCUUAUGAGUUGGGCUACACACGUGCUACAAUGGACGGUACAAAGGGCAGCGAGACCGCGAGGUGGAGCCAAUCCCAUAAAGCCGUUCCCAGUUCGGAUUGCAGGCUGCAACUCGCCUGCAUGAAGUCGGAAUCGCUAGUAAUCGCAGGUCAGCAUACUGCGGUGAAUACGUUCCCGGGUCUUGUACACACCGCCCGUCACACCACGAGAGUUUGCAACACCCGAAGCCGGUGAGUAACCGCAAGGAGCCAGCCGUCGAAGUGGUAGUNUUGG